RNAcentral lists this long non-coding RNA (5466 nucleotides) under Citrus maxima (pomelo). Its description in RNAcentral is "long non-coding RNA (CMAX_LNC003228)". The record is from RNAcentral. Lineage: Eukaryota; Viridiplantae; Streptophyta; Magnoliopsida; Sapindales; Rutaceae.
GGAGAUGUAUUCUUUUGAUAUGAAUGUGCCUGUCUUCUAAUAAACUCGUCGAUGAUUCUGUUUCUAUAGAAGACUGGUAAAUUUGUUUUAACUGUAACACUUCAUGAUUGAUGAUCGGUCGGCACGGCAGGGGGUGCAUUUGCGAGUGGUAGGAGUAAGUGACAGCAAGUCAUUGGUUGUUGCGUCGGAUGUUUUCACAAAGGAGUUCAACGAUAACCUCUUAUCAGAAAUUUGUCGCCUCAAGGCGGACCACUCUUCUCUCUCAACGCUUAUUAGUGGUUUCGGAGGUAAUCCUCUUGUAUUGUAUUGUUGAGGAUUUAAUAGAUUACUUAUUCUGUUUAUUUCUCAUGCUUUUGCUUUUCUUUUGAUUCUUUAUCAAAGGUGAAUGCCAAGUGUUUCUCGAUUCUGAUUUGAGAGGAAAGUUAUCAGAAAUUGCAUCUCUUCUGGGUAUAUCAACAGGUUCGUCUUCGUGACAAAUUACUAUCUUACCGGCCUUUAUACUUCUUUUGAAACACUGAUUAGUUUUUCAAUCAAUUGAAGUUUCAUGUUUGUUUUUAGAGUUUAGUGAUUCUUAUCAUUCAUUCACCUCAAGCAAGGUCAUUUCAAGCUUGGUCUUUUGCUUAAUCUUGCAACAGGUUUGGCCUUUGUUGAUUGCUCUGCCAGUUCUGAGACUGUUGAAAUAUUAACUCAAGCAGUUGAUUUGGGUUGUUGCAUUGUCUUGGCAAACAAGAAGCCUCUUAUGUCUACAAUGGUAAUAACUCUACAAGGCUUCCUUAUUUGGUUGUAACUGGACUUAGUUGGACAUGUAUAGUCAUCCUAUGGCCAUUCCAUGAUCAACCACUAACAGACUUAAUUCUGGAGAUGGCGACACUUCCUGCUGUCAUUAAAUGCUGCAAUGCCAUUUCUUUUGUGGCCAAUUCGAACAUUCUAUAUUUUUACCAUUUAAGAUGAAUUACGUUUGGUGUUUAAUUCUUUUAAAAUUAAAAAUGACAAAUUUUCAUUGAGCAAUUUAGUGCAAUAUUAAUGUUUUUGAAUUUUUUUACCAACCUCAUGCUAUUCUGUAAUGUAGGAGGAUUAUGACAAAUUGGUCUCACAUCCACGCUGUAUUCGGUAUGAGUCAACUGUAAGUGAAGUUUCCUGCUUUUGUCAUAUAAAAGGAAAUCGUGGGUGAAGUGUCUCAUUUGAUGUCUGUUUCUCCAUAGGUUGGUGCUGGCCUUCCUGUCAUAGCAUCCUUAAAUCGUAUUCUUUCUUCUGGAGACCCUGUCCAUCGUAUUGUUGGAAGUCUGAGUGGUAUUGGUUUUCUUUUCUUUUCUUUUCUUUUUUUUUUUGGGUUAGACAUUUAUUCUUCCUUCACAUAUGAAGUUCAUGCUUUUCCUGUAUCUGCUUGUAUUUUUUUGCAACCAUAUUUCAUAUAUGAAUAUUGGCUGUCAUUUGCAUAAUAUAUUUUGUAUUAGGUACAUUGGGGUAUGUAAUGAGCAAGGUUGAAGAUGGGAAGCCACUUAGUCAAGUUGUUAAAGCUGCUAAAAGCCUGGGAUACACUGAACCAGGUUUAAUUGUGAUUUUAAAUUUCUAUAUUGCAGUAGAUCAUAUCUUUUCUAUAAGUAUAUUCAGUUGCAUCUUCUAAUUUUGUUUAUGCAUGCUUACAAAUUUAUAUUAAAAUAUUUACACAAUUUAAUUCUUAUUAUUUUUCGUUUAUGGACUUUUUUUUUUUGGCUGUAAUAUUGUUUUUCCAAAUAUUCAUGCAUUAAGCAUUGUUCUUUUCAGCAUUGUUUACCAUUGACCAGUGCUUUGGAAACUUGAAGCAAAAGUUUCUUCAAUUUGGUUUGGAUUAUUAAAACACAGGAAUAGCCUGGUUUGCUUUGGUUACUUUCUUUGUCAGGUUUAUAAAGCUAUCUAAUCCUGUGGGGUAUUUUACACUUUAUGAAUUUGUUGAAGUGACAGACUGAUGACAAUUGAACCCAAGCAACUCAUCGGUACUUGUAAUUAUGGUGGAAUUCCUGAGUUUGUGGUUAUGAAAACUCCAUUAUUAAGCUUUUACGAAGACAACUUCCACAGCUGCAGAGGAGAAGAGAAGCACCAGUGGUCUAGUGGUAGAAUAGCACCCUGCCACGGGGUUCGAUUCCCGGCUGGUGCAUGUAUUUUUGUGGCCUUUUUGCCUUUUGGGGCAUUUGUCAGAAAAUACUAUCUCCACGCGCCUUCGUAAGUCACCAGCUUUUUUAAUUCAUAAAACUCUUGGACUGUCUCCAGAUCCAUAUCUUGUGGAUGUGGUCCAGCCAUCCAGACAAAUCGCAUCUUCGACGCACUUCUUAAUUCCUACCAGUAACCGCCCUUGAGCCUUCCCAUCCAAUUCCAACGAGCUGCCAGCUUAUAAUAACAACAACUUGCUCGGUCAAAGGACGAAAGGACAAACUGUGUCAUUAUUUGUUUUCGGUCAUUUCAAUGUGUGAACACUCACUGACUCACAUCAGAAAGACCAAUAAAUAUCCAUGAAAAUGGGACAUGGCUGCGGCGCAGAAGCUGCAAGUAACAGCUUCAAACCUUCCCAUUUCCAUCACCUUGCAUUGGGACCUCUUUCUCUCUCCUCUGGCACCCGUAGAAGUUCCCCAUUGGCUGCUGUUACUGACAGAAGCCGUAACAUAAUUGAUUCCGAGCUGCCCAUUUCGUACCCCUCUAACAGUCAAACGUUCACAUUAGUGGCGUAGUUCACAUCCCCUACAUUCAUCUGGAUCUAAUUAUAAAUACACACCCCACGAAGCAAAAGACAUUUCAUUUCAGUUGCGAGAGCAGAGCUUAGAGAGAAAAAAAAAGAAAAUGGCAAAAAGUGACGUGAAGGUUUUGGGUUUUUCGCCAAGCCCAUUUGUGAUGAGGGCAAGAAUCGCACUUAAGAUCAAGUCUGUGGAGUAUGAGUUUCUGGAGGAGAAUUUGGGAUCCAAAAGCGAGCUUCUGCUUAAAUCAAACCCUGUUCACAAGAAAAUCCCAGUUCUGAUUCACAAUGAUAAGCCUGUUUGCGAAUCUCUCAUUAUUGUCGAGUACGUGGAUGAGGCUUGGUCCUCUUCAGGUCCCUCUAUUCUUCCUUCUGAUCCUUAUGACCGUGCAGUUGCUCGUUUCUGGGCCGCUUACGUUGAUGAGAAGGUAUAUUUUCCUUUCUUUGUUUUGAAAAAAAUGUUUUAAGUCAAUGCUUUUUAUUCGAAUUAUGUGCAUCUAAAAUUUUUUAAUCUUUUUCAGUUUUGAAAACUGUUUUCGGAAAUUAAUAGAGUCUCUCUUGGUAAAUCAAGGAGGUAAAGCGCGUGAUUGGAAUUAUUUCCGGUGGAAAAAUGAACUUGAAAAGAAAACUAAAGAAAGAUUAAGAAAGCAGAGCCCAAAAGGAAAACAAUCAACACAAUCUAGAAGUAAAUCUGUAGAAGUGACGUAUACUCACAUAUCUAAGGAAACAAAUAUAUAUGAAUCUUAAGAGAUGAUACUGAUAGAGAUUAGAGAGAGAGCAAGAACGAAUCUUCAACUUGACAAAAAGCAUAUAAGAAUCAAUUGGCAGGUAGUGAUUGAAAUCUGGCCUUGAUUGAUCAAAUUAUGAUAUAUCUAUUAUGAUUUGCAGUGGUUCUCUGCCUUGAGAGACAUUGGUAGUGCAAAUGGAGCGGAAGCUAAGAAAGCUGCGAUUGAGCAAUUGAUUGAAGUCUUGGUUUUGCUGGAGGAUGCUUUUGUUAAGUGCAGCAAAGGGAAGCCUUUCUUUGGUGGAAACCAAAUUGGGUUUCUUGACAUUGCAUUUGGUAGCUACUUGGGAUGGCUGAGAGUGACAGAGAAAAUGAAUGAGGUGAAGCUCCUUGAUGAAGUCAAAACUCCUGGACUGUUGAAAUGGGCUGAGAGAUUCUGUGCUGACGCUGCUGUCAAAGAUGUUAUGCCUGAGACCGAUAAGCUUGCCAAACUCAGAGCUUCUGCUCCGCCUUCCAGCUGAUUUAAGCUAAAUACUGGACAUUAGUCUAGCAAUGGAACUAAGAAACUUAAUUAUGUGCUUGAAGGGGCCCAAAAACAAAAAAAAAAAAAAAAAGAGUUGUUUUCAGAAAUUAAUUCGAAUAAGAAUUAAUGGCGACCAUAAAGUUAGUAGUUUUGUUUUUGGUUUCGUUUGGAACGGUAAAGCCUGUAUCAUUUGGGUUCUGUUAUCGGACUAGGCAGCAGCCUGUCUCGUGUCUUAUAAAAUUGAAAUUCCUUUCAGUCAUUUGCUGGAAAGAGCUUAUUAUCUAUAUAUACUCAUGUAUAAUACCAAGUAAAGGUAUGAAGGUUAUUGUGUUGUUUUUUCUCUGUGGAAUUUUUCCCCACAUACAGUACACAUCUCGGCUACGUGCCAUAUAUGGUGUUAUAAAGUUAUCGUAUUAUGUAACGGUGAAAUUCCCGCAUGGCAUUUUGCAAGAAUUAACGAUUUUCAAACUCAGAAGACUUCUGUUUGCCACUGGAAUCUUAAAUUUUUGAGUUGCAAUCUGAAUUCUAAUGCACUUAUCAAUUGAAUAGUAUAAUAAAGAAAAAAAGAAAUUUUACAUUUAUUAUUCUGUACAUGAGUAAUACGUGGUAUUAAAAUUUAAGUUAGAACUUAGAUAUUGAAAUCUGUUUUGGCAUAUGGCUAUAAUCUAUUCACAACCUUUACAUUGCUGGACAAAGUAGUUGUUAAUAAAUAAUCAUAUCAAAACUGAUUAAAAUGACCAUCGAACAUGUGUUGAUAGAAGUGCAGAAUUUGACGUUCUGUCAUUCUCUUUCCCAGAAAUCAAUUCUUGACAACACCACCACACCAAAACUGUAUACAUUUCACUAUUUUCAGUAACCGAAACGGCCGGUAAAAUCCGGGUCUGUAUGCCCGGGCCUAUCUUGAGGCCCAAUUCGUCCUGACUUCGUCUUAACUUAAACAAGAAGCUGCAAUAAGCCACUGAGAGUCUGAAACUGCAGCGCCAGUCCACAUUUAAAGGAAAAAUAAAUAAAAAGAGAGAGAAAAAAUGGCAGCACUGAAGAAAAUCCCUUUGGUUCUGAUGGGAUGCGGAGGCGUCGGACGCCAGCUCCUCCAGCACAUUGUUUCCUGCCGAUCACUUCAUGCCAAUCUGGUACUCCUUCUCUGCUUUCCGAAGUUUAUUAGCGCUCCACAAAUUAACUAAUUAAUUAAUUAUUUAGUAGCUGCAUAUUCUUUAAUUAUUAUAUGACAUCGGAGAUGUAUUCUUUUGAUAUGCAUGUGCCUGCUUCUAAUAAGCUCGUCGAUGAUUCUGUUUCCAUAGAAGACUGGUAAAUUUGUUUUAACUGUAACACUUCAUGAUUGAUGAUCGGUCGGCACGGCAGGGAGUGCAUUUGCGAGUGGUAGGAGUAAGUGACAGCAAGUCCUUGGUUGUUGCGUCGGAUGUUUUCACAAAGGAGUUCAACGAUAACCUCUUAUCAGAAAUUUGUCGCCUCAAGGCGGACCACUCUUCUCUCUCAACGCUUAUUAGUGGUUUCGGA